UGGUAUUCAACCUCGUUUAUACGUACCCU
RNAcentral lists this small RNA (29 nucleotides) under Bombyx mori (domestic silkworm). RNAcentral describes it as "ovarian small RNA-35123". The record is from RNAcentral. Lineage: Eukaryota; Metazoa; Arthropoda; Insecta; Lepidoptera; Bombycidae.